AUGGGCGGAUGCCUACCAACAACUUGUUAAUCUCAUUGUAGUACAAAGAUUAUAUAUUCGAUUGUAGUACGUGUUCAGUCGGAAAGCCUUUUCGUUUUAUUUACAUAGAGAAUCAUUUUUGUACCUACCUGAAAUGAGUGUAUAAAAGUGUUCUCAAAUUGUGGUCUGAAAACUAAAACUUGAGAGCUCUCUGGAUAACCCGGGCAGGUUUUAUGGUCAACACAAAAGGAAAUUUUAAAGUAUGUCCAAAAAAUAUCAGCUCUUUGUGUUCAACAUAAGAUGGUAAAGGUUUGGGACUACUCAGUUGUUGGAGACUCCAUCGAUAACUUUUGGUUUCCACCACAAACACUGCUUCAACAAGACGUUCAAAUAUCUACCAGAAAAAAUUUAAGGUAAGUAUAAUAGGUGUACUUAUAAGAUGUUCGUAAUGAGAGUCUAUACAACUAUAUUUAAUAUUUGUAGACAUACUUGCAAAUACUCCAUUAGGUCCUAUUAGAGUAUAUCGACAAAGAAGACAGCUUUUCAAAGACUCAGGAAAGUUUAAUGUAAACCUUUAAGUUUCCACACAUAUAACUGCUGUGUUAGGAGCAUACUGGAUUUUCUCUUUUUUUGUUUUAAAUAAACUGCAUUUGUGCCUUAUUCCUCAUUUUUUCAGAACUUCCAGUAGGAUUAUCAAAAGGUAAAACAAGUAACAACUAGAGAUUUCUUUUUGGUAAUAACUACAAUACACUUGAAAAACAAACUGACUUGUUAAAUAUUAUAAAAAAUAUAGUUUUAUUCAAUUACGUAAAAAAAUUAAUGGGGUUUUUAAAAGUGUAGAUGAAAGAUAGUUUUAUAAUACUUAUGCAUUUAUCUAGGGCACUGUCACCUCAAUGAACACCUGAAGAUGUUAGACUUAGCAGAUUAUGUACUCUGCAGAUUUUGUUGUGCAAAAGACGCAACCUCUAUCCACAUUCUCUCGAAGUGUGAGAGACUACGGAACAUUAGAUCACUACACUUGGGACCCUAUGAAAUAGAAGACGAAGAUAUCUGGCUACUAGGGCCACCCUAUAUUCUGAACUUUUAAAGAAACGGAAAAUGAAUGGAUUAGGUGUAAGUACUGACGAUUCCCAGUAUCGCAGCAAUAAAGGGGGUCGCAGUGUAUAUAAUACUCUAUUAUAAACGUACCUACAUGUAUUUAUCUAUAUGUUUAUUUUAUAUUUUUUCAAAUGUAAUAAAAAACUGUCCUUUG
Diorhabda sublineata is the source of this 1231-nucleotide long non-coding RNA. RefSeq lists it as uncharacterized. NCBI's taxonomy places the organism in Eukaryota, Metazoa, Arthropoda, Insecta, Coleoptera, Chrysomelidae. The record is from RefSeq and is a predicted model, not a curated record. The transcript has 3 exons.